CCUACGGGAGACUGCAGUGGGGGAUAUUGCACAAUGGGGGGAACCCUGAUGCAGCGACGCCGCGUGGGUGAAGAAGCGCCUCGGCGCGUAAAGCCCUGUCAGCAGGGAAGAAAAUGACGGUACCUGAAGAAGAAGCCCCGGCGAACUACGUGCCAGCAGCCGCGGUAAUACGUAGGGGGCAAGCGUUAUCCGGAUUUACUGGGUGUAAAGGGGGCGCAGACGGCGAUGCAAGCCAGGAGUGAAAGCCCGGGGCCCAACCCCGGGACUGCUCUUGGAGCUGCGUGGCUGGAGGGCAGGAGGGGCAGGCGGAAUUCCUGGUGUAGCGGUGAAAUGCGUAGAUAUCAGGAGGAACACCGGUGGCGAAGGCGGCCUGCUGGACUGCAACUGACGUUGAGGCCCGAAAGCGUGGGGAGCAAACAGGAUUAGAUACCCUUGUAGUC
This 440-nucleotide ribosomal RNA is filed under the name uncultured bacterium. RNAcentral's name for it is "partial 16S ribosomal RNA". It matches the Rfam family "Bacterial small subunit ribosomal RNA", at positions 338 to 795 of the family's 1533-position model. The record is from RNAcentral.